AACAGGAUGCUGGGCAUCAUGUCUAACAGUGAAACAGGAAGAGAUGUGCUGUAACUGUAAAGCCUGCAGCCUCAGGGCUGAGCUGUAAGCUGGACGCUGUGGAAACAAUCACACAGGAGCUGAACGAGCCUGAUGUGUGUGAUGUGCGCCGCACUGUGUGAUAACCAAACUGUGAGAGUGUGAAAUAGAUGAAUAGUUACUUUUGUCCAGCUGUUACACUUUCUGUACUUUUUAGAUGUGCGUGACAUGAAGUUAGAAGACAUCAUAUUCAAACUGAGGUUGUUUCUGUUUGCACAUUGGAGUUUGUGCAGUGGGUCUGCUGGACAGUCCGUCUGUUGGAAACAUGUCACAUGACACAGGUUACAGAGCUGGAACGCUUUUCUGAGGUUUUUACUGCUGAAUGUUUUAUUGUGAAGUGUUUGAAAGCGCGAUCCCUGUUUAGUGUUAGUAUCCUGGUACAGGCUUCCAUCAAACACACGUUUCUACCCAAGCUAAUAUGAUAUUUUAUAUUUUUGUACCUGACUGUAAGCUUCACUGCUGCACUGCUAUCAGAAAUCAUUUUCCUCCCGUGCCUUACAAACAGCUCGCCUGCUGAAACUGUAUCUGUGUAUUUGUGAAGGAUAAACCACCUGUGAGUUUAUUCAGGUCUUAAUAGUGAACACUGCUGUUUCUUAAAGCUCCACAGUCCCAGUAAUACAGUGUUGUUCUCUUCUUCUGGGGAUUUGAUCAUAUUUUGUUCAUGUCAUGUUUCUGAUUGUGCAUGAUUUUUCUUUCUUUCUUUUUUUUAAACUUUUGCAUAAAGUAGGAAAUGUUUUCUAUAAGUGUAGAUGCAUUUUUGCACAGCAGGGCCUCUGAUGCUUCAGAGCAGUGUCUCUGCUGCGCGUACAGUAAGUGUUGAAGGAAGAUGAAGGUGGUGGACAGACAGGAGCGUGGGAAUAAAGAGGACUCGUGGAUGAAAUGAUAAUGAAAUGAUAAACAUGCAGUGUCAAAAACAACCAUGAUGACUUUGAGCUGUUUGCACAGCUACAGUGUCAGGUUCACAUUUACUGUGAAAACCGAAUAAACAGGAAAACUCUGUAAUCACCUGCUGACUGACUCAGUUUAUAAUAACUGUCACAGUUAUAUAUUUUAUGUUUAAAUGCUAUAUUUGCAACGAUAAGUAGCUCU
This is a long non-coding RNA of Oreochromis aureus, 1167 nucleotides long. The record is from Ensembl. Lineage: Eukaryota; Metazoa; Chordata; Actinopteri; Cichliformes; Cichlidae.